Molecule: long non-coding RNA, 3374 nt
Filed under: Homo sapiens (human)
Lineage: Eukaryota; Metazoa; Chordata; Mammalia; Primates; Hominidae
Description: HSALNT0376424
Source: RNAcentral
CAAUGAAAAUGGGUGUUUGACAUCUUCCCAGAAGCGGCACAAAAAGACAGCAAAAUCAGGCUGGUAAAAUGCUGAAUAAACAAAUGAAAGCGUUUGGUCUGAAUGUGAAUGACUCGAAGGGAGAAGGGGCCCGAGGAGACCUCCUCCGGGGAACGAUGGACAUCUCAGAAUUGAAGUUAAGGCUAUAGGUGGGAGGCGGGCGCCACCGUGCACAGGGGUGAGGGAGUUGUCUUAGCAAAAUCUGUCAUGCGGGCCUCUGGGGACUGUCAGGAGAGGAUCUGUGUCACCUGCCGAUUCUACCUCACUUCAGUCCAUGCCAGGUGGCGAGAGCGCAGGUGUGAGAAGAUAGGCCGGCCAAAGAAACCAGGAGGUUGCGGGGAGCCCGAGCCACAGGUGGGGGCCACUGUUAAGGCCAGGGAGGUUCCUCCUACCGCCAGCUUCCUGCGGCGACCCCCCAGUCCAGGUGGACCGGCCAACCACUAGCCACACAGGCUCGAGGCACGGGCCACGCCGUGUGCGGGGAACUGAACCACAGGCGGCUAACGCUAGCGCACAGCCCCAAGUCGACCAAUUGCCAGUGCGUGGGGCACUCACUACGGAGCCCAAGGCUCUGCCACAUUCAGCCACUGUCCUGGGCCCCUGGCCCUCGGUGGCAGCGUUUGUGAGGGUUCUCCAAACCAGCGAGCCCUCUCGAAAGAGUUUUGUUUAAAUAUGAAAGAGACUUAGUCCCAAGACAGUGGACACCGACGCUGCACAUGGAUGUAAUUCCCUCGUCUUCCAUUAAGCUCCAGAGGCCCUGUCGUUCUGCCUACUUCUGAAUUUUCACUUUUAUUCACUGUAAGUCUAAUCUAAAGUGUACCGUAUGCUUUUUUGCAGCCAAAGUUAUUAAUAUUUGCAGUUAGGGUUGUGGAGAAUGUGAAUCAAAAUAAUAAACAAGAAGAGAAAUAUUUUCGUGAAUUUGGGAGUUUGUACUGCUUGGGGUCGUGAACUCUGUUACUGCUACUUGACAAUCCAGAAGGCUCCUUGUGCACACAGGAUUCAGGCUGCUUCCCCAACAGUCCCCAGGGAUGUGUGUGGCUGCGGUCUACACCCAGAGAAGCUGACUGGUCCCAGAUCUCAGGUCAGUAAGUUGCAAGAACCCAGGAAAAAACUAUGAUCAGCCAUGCUUCUGCAAAGGAACAGAUCUCCAGAUUCCCACUUCUAUGGUUAGGAUGCACUCUAAAUUCAAAAUUACCUAACAGAAUGGAGGAUGUGAAAGGUAAAGAUGAACUAAAACACCACUCUUUAGAAUCGGAAUCUUGGGGGAAAUCCCACAACUAGACAUACUUGAACUUGUCCCUUUUUGUUGGUUGGUUUCAAAUGUUUAAAAUCUUCUUGAAGUUUGACUUGAUAGCAAUUUCAGCCUGGUCUGACCUCCAAUACCUGUUGGGUGACAUCGUGUGGCACCGCCUGGCAUUUUUACACAAGGAGAGCCUUCGGAAAUCUAAAGAUUUUAGAAGCAGCAGCUCCUUCUUAAGGCUGGUAGAUAAAUUAGUUGAGACUUUGCCGCAUCGUAGGGGAGCUUAUGACUCUGCCUUAGGCUUGCGGGAGGGAAUGAACAUGCCCGGCAACUUGACCAGGAAGGAAUCCUCCUCCCCCCUCACAGACAGGCAGUGAGUAUCGACCUCUGCGCCAAAUCUGCUCUACUUCCGUGCACCCAGGGAAAAUUUGCAGUCUGCAGGGCUGCUAGGCGGGUACAAGGAUGUUCGCAUACGAACAGGCAAGACCUCAUGUCCCGCGGGGGGUCUGGGGACUCUGCGAGAGCUUUAGCAGUUCUGCAGCACCAGCCUAGACUGGUUCAGAAACUGAUAUGGUUUAGAGCUCUGGUUAUAUGGAGGUAACAUACAACUCCCUCUUGUUCCUACCAACUCCUUCAGCUGCCACACAUCUUCCCAGUUCUCACAUAGGUUCAAUGCCAUCUCUCCCUUUCCACCUGCUGAACUUGGCUGUGACCAUGUGGCCUCAGCUGCUGCGGAUCCCCUGGGCGUGCCAGGGGUAGCAACUCAGUGGGCAGGGGGCCUGUCCGCAGCUCUGGCGGCUCCCCGCAGGCCCCACUCAUGCCGGCGGUUGCAGGUACUGGGUGCUCUUGGCAUUCUCAAGAGCGCAGGAAGAGUCAAUUUUAGGUGUUUUGGGCCACUAAGUAUCCGCGGCAAGCCGAAGACCCCGCUCUGGGAGCAAGAGAAGCCGAAGCUGCAGACAGGGUCAGCGGGAUCCCAGCAGAAGAGGGUGAUGCUGAAGCCUUCCCGGGGCGCGGACCGAGUGCUAGGGCGAGGUAGUCAGCGACCCGCUGAGACCGACCGAGAGACGACGGAUCUGAGGCAGAGAAAGAGGAUGAAGGAAGGAAAAGAGAGAACACUAAGGUCUGGUCAGUCCCGAUGAAUGUAAGGAUGCAGGACCUAGAACAAGAACAAGGGUCAGCUGGAGUCUGCCGCCUGGUUACACUGCUCACUCUGGACUCAGAAGAUCUCAAAGAGAUCGGAAGAAUUUCGACUAAAAGGAGAAAUUUAAGACCAAAACCAAAACACCAGUAAGGCCUGCAGCUGGCUCAGGCCAGGGAGAAGCCAAAAAGCCUUUCCCUAGCCGCGUCGAGGCCUCCUCCGAGGGGCGACUCGCUCUCUGGAUAAAUAUUUACUCAGUGGGAGACUGGAAGCCGGGCCGAGAGUGUGAAGGAGGGGGCUACACUGGGUGGGAGGAACCAGUACACUCGGCGCUGGCCGGAUCCUUGUGUACACCCGCCCAAGGGGAGCAGGGGCCGGGGACUCUGGGGGCGACUCGGCCCAGGCGUGUGGCUGGGGAAGCUUUAGACCCCAGCAUCGGAUCGACCGGACUCCGCCCUGCCCUCGCGGACCCCAGCCAGAUGCUGUGAAGUCUCCAUAAAUCUGUCAGCCGUCCCAGUGCCGCGGGCAGUCACCUGCGGCGCCCCCUUCCCGGCGCUAGAGCGGCCCGCGGAGAGACGCGGAGAAGCAACGGGAAUCUAGCCCGGCAGACUGUACCCGAGGGCUGCCGAAGUCAGACCCAAGCACUACAGGUUGUGCGGAACGCGAGGACCCCUCCCUGUAUCCCCAACCUGGACCGACCCCCGGAAGCCUGCUCCUCCGGGUCUACAGGGUAAGCGGCCAGCUGAGUUUCCCUGAAACUGCAGCGGCAAGUGACAGCCAGAAGCUCGCCCCGCGCCCAGGGCGAGGGAGGGUCCGCCCUGGACCGCUGGCCCCUGCAGGAUCUGCGCUGCGGGAGGGGAUGGCGGCUAAAAGGAGCAGUCGCGGGGAUUGGGGAUGGAGACAGCCCUCAGGGGUCCUCUGGUGGGAGAGGAGGACAGGAGGCGCCCGCACACUGAC